This 68-nucleotide transfer RNA is filed under the name Littoraria sinensis. Its description in RNAcentral is "tRNA-Tyr". It matches the Rfam family "tRNA". Rfam says of the family: Transfer RNA (tRNA) molecules are approximately 80 nucleotides in length. Their secondary structure includes four short double-helical elements and three loops (D, anti-codon, and T loops). Lineage: Eukaryota; Metazoa; Mollusca; Gastropoda; Littorinimorpha; Littorinidae. The record is from RNAcentral.
UGUUCGAUGGCUGAGUUGGUCAAGCGGUAGACUGUAGAUCUAUUUACGGAGUUAAAUCUCCUCAACAA